UUAUGAUGAUGUCAUACUUUGUAUUGCUGGUGAUGCUGGGACUCCUUGUACAGGGAUCAAUGGCAGAUAAAGUUCUGACUCAGUCUCCAGCAGCUCGGUCUGUUCAGCUGGGAGAGACUGUCUCUAUCAGCUGUACAGCCAGUGAGAGCGUUUACUACUCCAAUGUUACCAAGGA
Anguilla anguilla (European eel) is the source of this 175-nucleotide long non-coding RNA. RefSeq lists it as uncharacterized. The transcript has 2 exons. Lineage: Eukaryota; Metazoa; Chordata; Actinopteri; Anguilliformes; Anguillidae. The record is from RefSeq and is a predicted model, not a curated record.